Molecule: ribosomal RNA, 326 nt
Filed under: uncultured bacterium
Lineage: Bacteria
Description: bacterial SSU rRNA
Rfam family: Bacterial small subunit ribosomal RNA
Source: RNAcentral
AAUCAACGCUGGCGGCGUGCCUCAGACAUGCAAGUCGAACGAUUAAAGCUCUCUUCGGAGAGUGCAUAAAGUGGCGCACGGGUGAGUAACACGUAAGUAAUCUACCUUCGAGUGGGAAUAACAUCGGGAAACCGAUGCUAAUACCGCAUAAUGCAGCGGCAUCGCAAGAUGACAGUUGUUAAAGAUUUAUCGCUUGAAGAGGAGCUUGCGGCAGAUUAGCUAGUUGGUAAGGUAAUGGCUUACCAAGGCUACGAUCUGUAACCGGUCUAAGAGGACGGUCGGUCACACUGACACUGAAUAACGGGUCAGACUCCUACGGGAGCAGC